RNAcentral lists this non-coding RNA (23 nucleotides) under Arabidopsis thaliana (thale cress). The record is from RNAcentral. Lineage: Eukaryota; Viridiplantae; Streptophyta; Magnoliopsida; Brassicales; Brassicaceae.
CGAGAAGAAUCUCAAGGUGGCGG